Molecule: ribosomal RNA, 444 nt
Filed under: uncultured bacterium
Lineage: Bacteria
Description: bacterial SSU rRNA
Rfam family: Bacterial small subunit ribosomal RNA
Source: RNAcentral
CGACCUCAAGCUUUGCUUGAGGAGCCGUGGCAGGUAUUGCAUGGCUGUCGUCAGCUCGUGUCGUGGGACGUUGGGUUAAGUCCCGUAACGAGCGCAACCCCUGCUCUUAAUUGCCAGCGGGUAAUGCCGGGUACUAUAAGGGGACUGCCGGAGAAUAUCCGGAGGAAGGAGGGGAUGACGUCAAGUCAUUAUGAUCCUUAUGCUCUGGGCGACACACGUGCUACAAUGGGCACUACAAUGAGGAGCAAGUCUGCAAGGACGAGCAAAUCUCAAAAAGGUGCCCCCAGUGCGGAUUGGGGUCUGCAACCCGACCCCAUGAAGAUGGAAUCGGUAGUAAUCGCGGGUCAGCCAUACCGCGGUGAAUAUGUACUUGGGCCUUGUACACACCGCCCGUCACACCAAUCGAGUAGGCGACACCCGAAGUCGACGUAUGUUGCCGAAGGU